Molecule: ribosomal RNA, 216 nt
Filed under: Glomeromycotina sp.
Lineage: Eukaryota; Fungi; Glomeromycota
Description: partial small subunit ribosomal RNA
Rfam family: Eukaryotic small subunit ribosomal RNA (bases 40-216)
Source: RNAcentral
GGGUCAGUAGGUCGGUCGUGCCACCGGUACGUACUGGUCUCACUGAUUCCUCCUUCCUGAAGAACCGUAGUGCCGUUAAUUUGGUGUUGCGGGGAAACAGGACUGUUACUUUGAAAAAAUUAGAGUGUUUAAAGCAAGCUAACGCUUGAAUACAUUAGCAUGGAAUAAUGAAAUAGGACGAUCGAUCCUAUUUUGUUGGUUUCUAGGAUUGACGUA